RNAcentral lists this transfer RNA (74 nucleotides) under Gemmatimonadota bacterium. RNAcentral's name for it is "tRNA-Arg". It matches the Rfam family "tRNA". From Rfam's summary of the family: Transfer RNA (tRNA) molecules are approximately 80 nucleotides in length. The record is from RNAcentral. Lineage: Bacteria; Pseudomonadati; Gemmatimonadota.
GCCCUCGUAGCUCAGGCGGAUAGAGCGACGGAUUCCUAAUCCGUAGGCCGUGGGUUCGAGUCCCGCCGAGGGCA